GGAAGGUUCACAGCUUAGUGGCAGAGCAACUGCUUUGCAUGCAGAUGGUCCCUGGUUCAACUUCUGGCACCUCCA
Molecule: non-coding RNA, 75 nt
Organism: Podarcis lilfordi (Lilford's wall lizard)
Lineage: Eukaryota; Metazoa; Chordata; Lepidosauria; Squamata; Lacertidae
Source: the annotation of a GenBank genome assembly